RNAcentral lists this RNase P RNA (338 nucleotides) under human gut metagenome. RNAcentral describes it as "Bacterial RNase P class A". It matches the Rfam family "Bacterial RNase P class A". From Rfam's summary of the family: Ribonuclease P (RNase P) is a ubiquitous endoribonuclease, found in archaea, bacteria and eukarya as well as chloroplasts and mitochondria. Its best characterised activity is the generation of mature 5'-ends of tRNAs by cleaving the 5'-leader elements of precursor-tRNAs. The record is from RNAcentral.
CAGUCGGAUAAUCGCGCCUGAUACAAAAUCAGGUGAGGAAAGUCCGUGCAUCCAAGAACAGACCGCCGGAGAAACUCCGGGCGAUGUGAGUCGGCGGAUAGUGCCACAGAAAUGUAGACUGCCAAUGGGCAUUUGCCACAGGCGAUGGUGCAACGGUGAGUUAAGAGCUUCACCAGUGAUAUCGGAAGGUAUCAGCUAGGUAAACCCCGGUCGGAUGCAAGAUUAACCAGAAGGCUAAAGGCUGUUCGCCCACUUCUGACAAAUCGCUAGAGAUCAGGAGCAAUCCUGAUACCAGACAGAUGGUUAUCUAAAACAGAACACGGCUUACGGGCUGCUUU